ACUCUACAUCUAUCAGGCAAGUACACACUUAAGAUGAAGUUGUUGCGUGGGAACGGGAACCAAAUGACUUGUAUCACCUUCGAUUUCUCAAUUGGGUUCAGAUCACCCAUCAGCGAGAGUUAAGGUCGAGGCAUGGAUGGGGGACAGCUCUUGUCUACAUCUCGUGUAAGUUUCGAAUUUGUAUCACUACGUGGAUAGUUAAUUUCACUCGAAUAUUGUGAUCGUUCUAGCAGAACUCUGUAUGUAUGCUCAUUCUCCUUUGGAUUGUGAAAACACAAGCAAAUGCUAUAUCCACCUACUUAGAUGAUAUUACAUUGUUCAUAUUUAGAAUUCAAAUCAUGAACUUCUCUAGCAUUUAUAUUUGGGGAUCAUUGCUCGAGAUUUCAAUUAGUAAUUUGAUGUGGGAUGUGAAACGAAAUGCAACUGCGAAUUGAGGGCUACUUCCUGUUAUGAUUACUAGGAAACAUCAUUCAUUUAUGUUA
Molecule: long non-coding RNA, 482 nt
Organism: Magnolia sinica
Lineage: Eukaryota; Viridiplantae; Streptophyta; Magnoliopsida; Magnoliales; Magnoliaceae
Exons: 3
Source: RefSeq, a predicted model, not a curated record